UGAGAUUUGUUUAUUAAUUUACUAAAGCACAAUAAAAGUUUUCGUGCUCUCCGAUGUAAUAUAGUUCACGCCUUUCCUCUCUCUCCCCCUCUCUUAAACUCUACCCCUUGUCCUCCUCAACAAUCUUCCUCCCUCCCCCAUCCUCUCACUCCCUCCUCUUUCACGCAACAAAGUCAAUGUCCACCCAAAUCCCAGGUUCGGUCUCUCUCUAAUUCUCUCUUAUUUGAUUUGAUUUUCAAAAAAUAUAUAGAUCUAUUUGAUUUUCUUUCCUACUAUUGUCUUCUUCAAGCUACAUUGAUCUGGAUUUGAUGAAGGAGAAUCUUCGAGUCAAAAAGAUGUGGGCAACAAAAAAGGAGGGUCGCCGGAGGCCACCCUAGAAACCACCAUUGGCAUCUUCACCAUCGAGGAACUUCAUCAGGCUCGCUCGCAAAGGAUAUUACGACAACGUAAUUUCACAUAAUCAUCCAGGAUUUCAUAGGGCAAGGUGGUGAUCCCACUGGGGCAGGAAAGGGUGGCGAAUCCAUUUAUGGGGGAAAGUUUGAGGACGAGAUAAAACAAGAGUUGAAGCAUAUUGGAGCUGGCAUCUUAUCGAUGGCGAAUGCUGGUCCGAAAACAAAUGGAAGCCAGUUCUUUUUCAUGUUGGCACCGUGCCCAUCAUUGGAUGGCCUGCGUAUUAUAUAAAGCUUUGCACUUCAGAUUAAGGUAAAGUUUGAUUAUAUCUUAUAGUUAAUUCUGAUGCCCAUCGCAAGGUGUAUAAUUUUUUUCCAUUACACUUGUGUGUUCUAUCAAUUAAACUCCAGACCAACUACUAAUCUCCUAAGUUCUUUAAAUUCGGGUUUGUUAUAUGUUAUAGGAAAUGGCAUAUUUUGAGAUAUUUUGCAUCUUUUUUUCUUUAGUUCCUUACAUUUGAAAGAGUGAGAAUUAUAUUAUUGGGACUUUGGAUUCUAUUUUUAUGUCCUAAUUUGUGUGAGGAUUGCUUGCCAUCCAUAUAAGAAUGUUACUAAGUGUCGGGCAAAAGUCUUUAUGUUUCAAUCACAAACAAGUGCAUGUAUACAUAGCAGAAUUACACCAAUUAAUCUGUGGGAGGAAGGAUAUACAACAACUCAUGAGAUAAAGAUAAAGAAUCAUAAUUUGAAAGCCACUACAUACUCAUUUCUUGUUGCUCUGUGGCACUCAAGCAGCAUUUUGGAACUAAAAGAUGAGAAAAGAACUGUGCAGGUUCACUUAAAACCUUAAUAUUUGAUGUUCUUAUUCUUGAGAGAACCGAUAUUUACUUAAAACCUUUAUAAUUUUAUUUUUAUUUUAGUUGGGGAUAGAAUAUGUAAAAUUAUAGUUGUUUUUAUAUAUAAUGGUUGUCAAUAUCUUUGUAAAUUGUAAUAUUAUAGAUGCUUGUGGUUGUGGGCUGUUUUAAUUUUAUGAAAAAAUAAUUUUUUGUUUAGUCUCAAUCUCAAUUUGUAGGUGAUUUCGGUUUUUAAAUUUUUUUUAAAAUAGUUGACAUAUUGGGCACAAUAAGAAUAAAUGUGCUAACAUGGGUGGUAGCAGUCAUCUGACAACGUUAUCAGAACUGGGCACAAAAUGACCUUUAUUUGUCCAAAAUUGAACUUUUUAAUAUGAAUUCAGCCAUGUGUAGAGGCAAAAUGCAAAAAAUUGCAGAUUGUGCCUCUGCACUCAUCCCUUAGAUUUUCCUCAAUCCGUCAUCCGUCAUUUCCAUUUUUCUCAAUUUCAUCAUCUAAUACUCCCUUCAUCUUCUUCUCUAGGUUGAUCGAGCUAUCUUGGUGUGUCUGGGAUAUUGUGUGUGAUUAGCGAUUGGUGAAGAACGAUUGAGAAAGUAUUUUCAUCGUUUUAUUUUUUUAAACAUAUAAAACUAAUUAAAUUAUGUUGAACUUAGUUUGUUAUGUUUAUAUUGUGUUGUGAAAUUAUAUUUAUAUUAUGUUGUUAAAUUUGUACAUGACGUACAAAAAUGUGUUGUGAUGUAAGAAGUUAAUUGAAAUUAACUUUGUACUUGUUUUUUAUUUUUAGUAAAACUCAGUUUCCCGUUCGAGAAUUAGUUGGAUUUCGCGCAUAGAUGCGAAAGCAUAACUGUGGUCCAAUUAAUUCUUGAAUUGUCCCAUUAUUUAGACAGUUUGUGAAUGCACAGUUAUGAUGCGUAGUUUAUGGUUGAAGGAUUAGGUUUCGAUUGUGGAGAUUUCAGUGUUAUCUCUGUACGUUCUUCGGGUUGUACACCUGAAGAACUGUAUCGAGAUGCUGCUGAAAUUCAUCUACGUCGAAAUCUAAUAUGAUGUAGCUGUAAAUUACGUGAUAUGACUAUGCAUUCCCGAAUGGGAUAGGGCCCUCACCGAAGGCAUAAGGUGACAUUAUCAUUUUGUAUGAAGUUGUUGUGAUUGUUGUAUUGUUAUUGU
Molecule: non-coding RNA, 2399 nt
Organism: Malus domestica (apple)
Lineage: Eukaryota; Viridiplantae; Streptophyta; Magnoliopsida; Rosales; Rosaceae
Source: RefSeq, a predicted model, not a curated record